This 409-nucleotide ribosomal RNA is filed under the name bacterium. RNAcentral describes it as "partial 16S ribosomal RNA". It matches the Rfam family "Bacterial small subunit ribosomal RNA", at positions 355 to 776 of the family's 1533-position model. The record is from RNAcentral.
UGGGGAAUAUUGCACAAUGGGCGAAAGCCUGAUGCAGCGACGCCGCGCGAGGGAUGACGGCCUUCGGGUUGUAAACCUCUUUCAGUAGGGACGAAGCGCAAGUGACGGUACCUGCAGAAGAAGCACCGGCUAACUACGUGCCAGCAGCCGCGGUAAUACGUAGGGUGCGAGCGUUGUCCGGAAUUACUGGGCGUAAAGAGCUCGUAGGCGGUUUGUCACGUCGUCUGUGAAAUCCUAGGGCUUAACCCUGGACGUGCAGGCGAUACGGGCUGACUUGAGUACUACAGGGGAGACUGGAAUUUCUGGUGUAGCGGUGGAAUGCACAGAUAUCAGGAAGAACACCGAUGGCGAAGGCAGGUCUCUGGGUAGUAACUGACGCUGAGGAGCGAAAGCAUGGGUAGCGAACAGG